GCCAGUUACAGCUCUUUCAGAAUUUGUCUAGCAGGCUUUCCGGUUUUUGUUGGAAAGCCCCC
Macaca fascicularis (crab-eating macaque) is the source of this 62-nucleotide small nuclear RNA. Its record names the gene U7. It matches the Rfam family "U7 small nuclear RNA". Rfam says of the family: Animal histone pre-mRNAs are spliced by a different mechanism than nuclear pre-mRNAs and self-splicing introns. This processing involves the U7 snRNP, which contains only one RNA species: U7. The record is from Ensembl. NCBI's taxonomy places the organism in Eukaryota, Metazoa, Chordata, Mammalia, Primates, Cercopithecidae.